Molecule: ribosomal RNA, 907 nt
Filed under: Umbilicaria maculata
Lineage: Eukaryota; Fungi; Ascomycota; Lecanoromycetes; Umbilicariales; Umbilicariaceae
Description: eukaryotic LSU rRNA
Rfam family: Eukaryotic large subunit ribosomal RNA
Source: RNAcentral
UGCCUCAGUAACGGCGAGUGAAGCGGCAACAGCUCAAAUUUGAAAUCUGGCCGUUCAGCGGUCCGAGUUGUAAUUUGUAGAGGAUGCUUCGGGUGCGGCGCCGGUCUAAGUUCCUUGGAACAGGACGUCAUAGAGGGUGAGAAUCCCGUAUGUGACCGGUGACCCAGCCCGUGUGAAGCUCCUUCGACGAGUCGAGUUGUUUGGGAAUGCAGCUCUAAAUGGGUGGUAAAUUUCAUCUAAAGCUAAAUACCGGCCAGAGACCGAUAGCGCACAAGUAGAGUGAUCGAAAGAUGAAAAGCACUUUGGAAAGAGAGUUAAAAAGUACGUGAAAUUGUUGAAAGGGAAGCGCUUGCGACCAGACUCGCUCGCGGGCGAUCAGCCGUCCUUUUGGGCGGUGCACUCACCUGUGAUCGGGCCAGCAUCGGUUCGGGCGGCCGGAUAACGGCCCCGGGAAUGUGGCUCCCCUCGGGGAGUGUUAUAGCCCGGGGCGCAAUGCGGCCCGCCGGGACCGAGGACCGCGCUUCGGCUAGGAUGCUGGCGUAAUGGUCGUAAGCGACCCGUCUUGAAACACGGACCAAGGAGUCUAACAUCUGUGCGAGUGUUUGGGUGUCAAACCCAUGCGCGGAAUGAAAGUGAACGGAGGUGGGAACCCUUCAGGGUGCACCAUCGACCGAUCCUGAUGUCUUCGGAUGGAUUUGAGUAAGAGCAUAGCUGUUGGGACCCGAAAGAUGGUGAACUAUGCCUGAAUAGGGUGAAGCCAGAGGAAACUCUGGUGGAGGCUCGCAGCGGUUCUGACGUGCAAAUCGAUCGUCAAAUUUGGGUAUAGGGGCGAAAGACUAAUCGAACCAUCUAGUAGCUGGUUCCUGCCGAAGUUUCCCUCAGGAUAGCAGUAACGUUUUCAGUUUUA